This 1497-nucleotide ribosomal RNA is filed under the name metagenome. RNAcentral describes it as "bacterial SSU rRNA". It matches the Rfam family "Bacterial small subunit ribosomal RNA". The record is from RNAcentral.
AGAGUUUGAUCCUGGCUCAGGAUGAACGCUAGCUACAGGCUUAACACAUGCAAGUCGCGGGGUAACAUCUGGUAGAGCUUGCUCUUCCAGGAUGACGACCGGCGCACGGGUGAGUAACGCGUAUCCAACCUGGCCCAUACCACGGGAUAGCCCGUCGAAAGGCGGAUUAAUACCGUAUGCUGUCAUUAAGUUGCAUAUAUUGAUGACGAAAGGACUGGCGGUAUGGGAUGGGGAUGCGUCUGAUUAGCUUGUUGGCGGGGUAACGGCCCACCAAGGCGACGAUCAGUAGGGGUUCUGAGAGGAAGGUCCCCCACAUUGGAACUGAGACACGGUCCAAACUCCUACGGGAGGCAGCAGUGAGGAAUAUUGGUCAAUGGGCGCAAGCCUGAACCAGCCAAGUAGCGUGAGGGAAGACUGCCCUACGGGUUGUAAACCUCUUUUGUUUGGGAAUAAAGUGCGGGACGUGUCCCGCAUUGCAUGUACCACUUGAAUAAGGACCGGCUAAUUCCGUGCCAGCAGCCGCGGUAAUACGGAAGGUCCGGGCGUUAUCCGGAUUUAUUGGGUUUAAAGGGAGCGCAGGCCGUGGGUUAAGCGUGUCGUGAAAUUCCGUCGCUCAACGGCGGACGUGCGGCGCGAACUGGUCCACUUGAGUACGCGGGACGUUGGCGGAAUUCGUGGUGUAGCGGUGAAAUGCUUAGAUAUCACGAAGAACUCCGAUUGCGAAGGCAGCUGACGGUAGCGCAACUGACGCUGAGGCUCGAAAGUGCGGGUAUCGAACAGGAUUAGAUACCCUGGUAGUCCACGCUGUAAACGAUGAUUACUAGGUGUGGGGGGACUGACCCCUUCCGUGCCGCAGUUAACACAAUAAGUAAUCCACCUGGGGAGUACGGCCGCAAGGUUGAAACUCAAAGGAAUUGACGGGGGCCCGCACAAGCAGUGGAGUAUGUGGUUUAAUUCGAAGCAACGCGAAGAACCUUACCAGGUCUUGACAUCGAGUGCAUAACUAAGAGAUUAGUGAAAUCCCUUCGGGGACACUUAGACAGGUGGUGCAUGGUUGUCGUCAGCUCGUGUCGUGAGAUGUUGGGUUAAGUCCCGCAACGAGCGCAACCCUUACCUUUAGUUGCUACGCAAGAGCACUCUAAAGGGACUGCCGUUGACAAAACGGAGGAAGGUGGGGAUGACGUCAAAUCAUCAUGCCCCUUAUGACCUGGGCUACACACGUACUACAAUGGCAAUCAACAAAGAGAAGCAAGACAGUGAUGUGGAGCAAAUCUCAAAAAAUUGUCCCAGUUCAGAUUGUAGGCUGCAACUCGCCUACAUGAAGUCGGAAUUGCUAGUAAUCGCGGAUCAGAAUGCCGCGGUGAAUACGUUCCCGGGCCUUGUACACACCGCCCGUCACACCAUGGGAGUCGGUAACACCCGAAGUCGGUAGUCUAACAGCAAUGAGGACGCCGCCGAAGGUGGGAUUGAUGACUGGGGUGAAGUCGUAACAAGGCA